Long non-coding RNA from Homo sapiens (human), 284 nucleotides. RefSeq lists it as uncharacterized. The record is from RefSeq and is a predicted model, not a curated record. Lineage: Eukaryota; Metazoa; Chordata; Mammalia; Primates; Hominidae. The transcript has 3 exons.
GUGUAGUGACGGUGACAAUGAUGAUGGUCAUGGUGAUGAUGACAAUGAAGACUUCUCAUCCACAGAGAUUCUGGCUUAAUUGGUUUGCGGCCUUAAUAUUACUUCGAUAACCAGGACCUCUGAUAACCUGCCCCCACCGAGUAAAGACUUAGCUGGGAAAGUCAGCUUCAUGUGAGGUAAAAGGAACCAGCCCUCUUGUGCAUGCUUUCCUGCCUUUCCACCUUCUGCUAUGGGAUGACACAGCAAGAAGGCCCUCACCAGAUGCAGCUCCUUGAUCUUGGACU